GCUGAACUUUAGCACUGAUUUUAGACUCCCAAAGAGCUGGAGGUGUAAAGUCAGAGGUGACUUCACCACCAUUUCUGUAGUGCUUGCCACAACUUUGAUAGCAGUACAGGAUGGAGGAUCAGCAAGGGAAAGGCAAAAUACCAAGGGUUUCAUGUCCAGAAAUUAUGAAGUCACGUGGCAGCUCAGAAAUACACUCUUGAAAUGGCGACAGCAAAACAUGUAUGGGAACUGCUGAGUCAGGGCCUGAAGCAGUGAUGGAGCACCUGGGGAAAGGACCCGGUCAGCCCUGGGAGCACAGGUGAAGGCAAUGCAGCUGUGUGAUAGGAAGGGGUGGAGCCUGGCUGCACCUCUCUUAGACCUUAUUUAAGGGCUGACUGUCCCUUGGGAAGGGUCUCUUUCUGGAGAUCCCUCCUUGGUGGGGCUUUCUGCUGUGAACCUGGAAUCUUCUGAUAUGGGCUCUGGAAAUCUCUGGACUCGUUGUCAGGAAGGUGAGCACAAAUAUGACUUUUUCAGCACUGAAGGCAUUAAUGGCAUUCAGCAAAGUAGACAGCAGGAGCUGGAGGCUCAGAAGAAAUACACUGUGCAGGCUGUCAGCAUGGAGACACUGAGCUCAACUUCACCACGACAGGCAGCCCCCAGCACAGCUGUAACAAAGAGGUGCUUAAAGCCAGACAGAAUCCAGACUGCCACAGGAGGAGAAGAAAGGAAGACGAGAAGAAAGAAAAUGAGAUGGGAUUUUCCUUAUCUUCCUCUCGCUGUGGGAACUGCUGAGCACAUGCUGGCUGCAGGGGAGACCCCAGAGUGCUUCCUUUCCUUCGUGCUGUGCCCACCCUGUGGAAUACAGAGCCAAUUUAGAUGGCAAUAUGUGCUAAACUGUGCAGGGAGCUGAAGCCGUGUGAGGAGCACAGGGGGCAUACAAAGCAGAGGAUGAGCACAGAUCACAGCAGAGGAAGUUAUCUGGGAUUUCUUCCAUCUUGUGGAGACCCCGUGAUCCGCUUGCCAAUGCCCUGCACUGAACAAAGCUGCUGGCUUUCUGUGGGUGGCAGUGAAGGAACGAUUUUUGCUUCUCUCCUCCCUUCUCACCCCAAGAAAAUAAUGUUUGGAAACACAUCUGAGUCGCAGAAGUCUAAAACUGUCUGGAAAUCCCACCUUCAACCACGUGAACUGCAUUUCACUUUUAUUUCACUUUAUUGGGUCUUCAUUUUAAUAUGAUUAGUUUAUAGGAUUUCUUGACAGAGCA
Molecule: long non-coding RNA, 1240 nt
Filed under: Gallus gallus (chicken)
Lineage: Eukaryota; Metazoa; Chordata; Aves; Galliformes; Phasianidae
Description: lncRNA (ENSGALG00010000551.1)
Source: RNAcentral